UGUGGCCCCCACCUCUGGGAGCUCUCUGCUUUAGAGGACCUUCCUUGUGCCCAGGCCUGGCUGGGCUCCCAGCGCCAUCAAGGUGAGGAAUCCCAAUAUUGGACCUGGUCCUGUGUGAAUCCCGAUUUCCAUCUCUUCCUCUUUCGCAGAGACUAUGUACCACUUCUGCCUUGACCCCACAGCCUCCAAGGGUUGACCAGAUGUCCUAAAGACCAUCCCAGGGCCCCGUGGUUGGACCCCUGUAGCAGACUCUCAGAGGUUGUCGGUGCAACAGGACUUCAGAGAUGGGCAACUUAUCUGCAGCACGCAGUCCUUCAACUGGCCCAGUGGAGGCAUCCGUGUCCUCUUGGCAUUAGAGAGAUGGGGAGAGAGACGCCAUUCUUCCCAGUGGCCUGGGACGAUCUCCAGCCUCCUGGGAUGAGAAGUUACCAGACUAAAAUAUUUCCCCGUGAGGGAAGGAGGGAAGUGCAUGGGAUUGCAAGUCUGCCCUGAGUGGCUUCUGAUGCGAUGAGAGAGAGAGCACGCGGGCUUCCUGGGAACUCUGCAGCUUGUUCAAGGACUCUUCAAUCACAGACGCCAAGUGCAGGGAGCAAUAAACAAGAUCGCGACUA
Long non-coding RNA from Leopardus geoffroyi (Geoffroy's cat), 611 nucleotides. RefSeq lists it as uncharacterized. The transcript is spliced from 2 exons. The record is from RefSeq and is a predicted model, not a curated record. NCBI's taxonomy places the organism in Eukaryota, Metazoa, Chordata, Mammalia, Carnivora, Felidae.